UGCAGUCGAGCGAACAGAUAAGGAGCUUGCUCCUUUGACGUUAGCGGCGGACGGGUGAGUAACACGUGGGUAACCUACCUAUAAGACUGGAAUAACUCCGGGAAACCGGGGCUAAUGCCGGAUAACAUUUAGAACCGCAUGGUUCUAAAGUGAAAGAUGGUUUUGCUAUCACUUAUAGAUGGACCCGCGCCGUAUUAGCUAGUUGGUAAGGUAAUGGCUUACCAAGGCAACGAUACGUAGCCGACCUGAGAGGGUGAUCGGCCACACUGGAACUGAGACACGGUCCAGACUCCUACGGGAGGCAGCAGUAGGGAAUCUUCCGCAAUGGGCGAAAGCCUGACGGAGCAACGCCGCGUGAGUGAUGAAGGGUUUCGGCUCGUAAAACUCUGUUAUUAGGGAAGAACAAACGUGUAAGUAACUGUGCACGUCUUGACGGUACCUAAUCAGAAAGCCACGGCUAACUACGUGCCAGCAGCCGCGGUAAUACGUAGGUGGCAAGCGUUAUCCGGAAUUAUUGGGCGUAAAGCGCGCGUAGGCGGUUUCUUAAGUCUGAUGUGAAAGCCCACGGCUCAACCGUGGAGGGUCAUUGGAAACUGGGAGACUUGAGUGCAGAAGAGGAAAGUGGAAUUCCAUGUGUAGCGGUGAAAUGCGCAGAGAUAUGGAGGAACACCAGUGGCGAAGGCGACUUUCUGGUCUGUAACUGACGCUGAUGUGCGAAAGCGUGGGGAUCAAACAGGAUUAGAUACCCUGGUAGUCCACGCCGUAAACGAUGAGUGCUAAGUGUUAGGGGGUUUCCGCCCCUUAGUGCUGCAGCUAACGCAUUAAGCACUCCGCCCGGGGGAGUACGACCGCAAGGUUGAAACUCAAAGGAAUUGACGGGGACCCGCA
Molecule: ribosomal RNA, 888 nt
Filed under: Staphylococcus arlettae
Lineage: Bacteria; Bacillati; Bacillota; Bacilli; Caryophanales; Staphylococcaceae
Description: bacterial SSU rRNA
Rfam family: Bacterial small subunit ribosomal RNA
Source: RNAcentral